UUCAUCUGACAACGACAAUGAGUCUUAGAUAAGCAAGGAGUCUUCAUGGAAUAUGAGAGUCACGUGUGCAUGCGACUUUGGGUUAAAGAAUUAUGUUGUGUAAUGUGUGUGAGUACAUUGGGUGAAGCAACUUAUGUCAGAUAUAUACAAACUGCUGUGGGAUAACGACGAUCACCUAAAACUAAAUUUAUUAGGACCAGCAAGCAAGCUUUUACUGAUAAAAACAUCCCUUGAUUAUAAAGUUACACACGAUUAUUUUCGGUGAUCUUAAUGUGGUUGUUGGUGUUAUCGAUGUUGUGGUAUAGUAAGUAAAUGUGCAUGUAAUUGUGAGUAGUAUAGCAUGAUAUGGCCGUAUACUGGAAAAAUAACUCGAAACUUACAAACGUUUAAUUUACUAAGGAUAUUUUCCUGCGCUUACCAACGCUGGGUCGGCAAAGUAAGCGUUUAUAAGUUUCCAGCUUUUUUUCUGUAAAGAGCCUAUUCUAUUGAGCGUAUUUCUGCCGCGUGCCCUGUUUGUCAGUUACAGUUGGUGUCGCAGGCAGUGAGGUCUCUGGCAGGUGGAUCUGUCACAGUGGGAUCUAUGGUAGUGGGAUCUACGGCGACGGCGGCUGCUGGCUGCUGCGUCAGGGCAAGCUCAUCGAGUUCUCCUAUGCUAGAUCGUACAUUUACCGUGGUACCAAGAGGACUGUAUAUGUACGGUCGGCGGGCCAUUACCUCGUACCGCUGGACCCCCCAUCCGGACACCGAGCGUCACACUGGGACUAUCAGUGAGGUGUUCCAAAAAGUGUUGUGUUUAUUGUACGGUCGGAACUCUGCACGAGAAGCCACGAUGACCUGAGGGUGUAACACACAGAACAACCGUGUGAAAACCUAACGUGAGAGUGCAAUAAAAUUGCAUUUUUUGGAAGCUGGUUACAUACUGGAGUGAAUAUCAUCAAGGAAGAAACCAAUUGACUUUUAGUCAACUUCUGGGACUAAGAACUUGUAAUUGCCCGUCUAAAAAGGAUUUAGAGUAAGGUAGUUAUGUAAUUUAGGAUUCACUCUAUAUUUAAAGUUCUAAUAAAGUUUUAGCAUCAAACUAAUAUUUAAGCCUAAGUAGAUAAUAAAACAAAGGUAAACAAAAAAAAAUGCAAAAAAUAAAAUCAAAGAGAAAAUAAUAAAAAUAAAAAACAAAAAAAAAUAGGUAUAAUCUUAAUAGCUUAGAUGUACAUGCUUUAUUAUAUAAUCUUUAACCUGACAAAAAAUUGAGAUCAAACUUAUUAAUAAGUUCAUUCAUAAGAUAGCUUAAAAUUAGUAAUAAAUCAUUAGCGUAAGUAAA
Molecule: non-coding RNA, 1318 nt
Organism: Plutella xylostella (diamondback moth)
Lineage: Eukaryota; Metazoa; Arthropoda; Insecta; Lepidoptera; Plutellidae
Source: RefSeq, a predicted model, not a curated record